Molecule: transfer RNA, 85 nt
Filed under: archaeon
Lineage: Archaea
Also listed under: 3 other names
Description: tRNA-Ser
Rfam family: tRNA
About the family: Transfer RNA (tRNA) molecules are approximately 80 nucleotides in length. Their secondary structure includes four short double-helical elements and three loops (D, anti-codon, and T loops).
Source: RNAcentral
GGCGAGAUACUCAAGCCCGGCCCAAGAGGGUGGUCUCGAAAACCACUAUGCUAUGCAUGCGGGGGUUCAAAUCCCUCUCUCGUCA